AGAGUUUGAUCAUGGCUCAGAACGAACGCUGGCGGCAUGCCUAACACAUGCAAGUCGAACGGGAUCCAGGCUUCGGCCUGGUGAGAGUGGCGGACGGGUGAGUAACGCGUGGGAACCUGCCCAAUGGUCUGGGAUAACCGCGGGAAACUGCGGCUAAUACCGGAUAAGCCCGAGAGGGGAAAGAUUUAUCGCCGAUGGAGGGGCCCGCGUCAGAUUAGGUAGUUGGUGGGGUAAUGGCCUACCAAGCCUACGAUCUGUAGCUGGUCUGAGAGGAUGAUCAGCCACACUGGGACUGAGAUACGGCCCAGACUCCUACGGGAGGCAGCAGUGGGGAAUAUUGGACAAUGGGCGCAAGCCUGAUCCAGCAAUGCCGCGUGAGUGAUGAAGGCCUUAGGGUUGUAAAGCUCUUUUGGCGGGGACGAUGAUGACGGUACCCGCAGAAUAAGCCCCGGCUAACUUCGUGCCAGCAGCCGCGGUAAUACGAAGGGGGCGAGCGUUGUUCGGAAUUACUGGGCGUAAAGGGCGCGUAGGCGGCCGAUCAAGUCAGAUGUGAAAGUCCUGGGCUUAACCUGGGGACUGCAUUUGAUACUGAUUGGCUUGAAUCCGGGAGAGGAUAGCGGAAUUCCCAGUGUAGAGGUGAAAUUCGUAGAUAUUGGGAAGAACACCAGUGGCGAAGGCGGCUAUCUGGACCGGCAUUGACGCUGAGGCGCGAAAGCGUGGGGAGCAAACAGGAUUAGAUACCCUAGUAGUCC
RNAcentral lists this ribosomal RNA (752 nucleotides) under uncultured bacterium. Its description in RNAcentral is "bacterial SSU rRNA". It matches the Rfam family "Bacterial small subunit ribosomal RNA", at positions 8 to 796 of the family's 1533-position model. The record is from RNAcentral.